Molecule: ribosomal RNA, 216 nt
Filed under: Glomeromycotina sp.
Lineage: Eukaryota; Fungi; Glomeromycota
Description: partial small subunit ribosomal RNA
Rfam family: Eukaryotic small subunit ribosomal RNA (bases 40-216)
Source: RNAcentral
GGGUCAGUAGGUUGGUCGUGCCACCCGUACGUACUGGUCUCACUGAUUCCUCCUUCCUGAAGAACCGUAAUGCCAUUAAUUUGGUGUUGCGGGGAAACAGGACUGUUACUUUGAAAAAAUUAGAGUGUUUAAAGCAAGCUAACGCUUGAAUACAUUAGCAUGGAAUAAUGAAAUAGGACGAUCGAUCCUAUUUUGUUGGUUUCUAGGAUUGACGUA